RNAcentral lists this ribosomal RNA (704 nucleotides) under Elongisporangium senticosum. Its description in RNAcentral is "eukaryotic LSU rRNA". It matches the Rfam family "Eukaryotic large subunit ribosomal RNA", at positions 81 to 628 of the family's 3401-position model. The record is from RNAcentral. Lineage: Eukaryota; Oomycota; Peronosporomycetes; Pythiales; Pythiaceae.
UAGUAACGGCGAGUGAAGCGGGAUGAGCUCAAGCUUAAAAUCUCUGUGCAAGUUUUGCAUGGCGAAUUGUAGUCUAUAGAGGCGAUGUCAGUGCAGCUAUUUGGGGUAAGUUCCUUGGAAGAGGACAGCAUCGAGGGUGAUACUCCCGUUUGUACCCGAGUAGCUUGUGCGUACGACACGUUUUCUUUGAGUCGCGUUGUUUGGGAAUGCAGCGCAAAGUAGGUGGUAAAUUCCAUCUAAAGCUAAAUAUUGGUGCGAGACCGAUAGCGAACAAGUACCGUGAGGGAAAGAUGAAAAGAACUUUGAAAAGAGAGUUAAAGAGUACCUGAAACUGCUGAAAGGGAAUCGAAUCGUUUCCAGUGUCUAUAAUCCAUGGCAUAUUUCAUUGGCGACUUGUUGCGUGCAGUGCGUAGGAAGUAGUUUAUUCUGCUCCUUGUAUUGUUUUGCGAUGUGUUGCUGGUGCCCUGUGUCGUGGUGGGACGUCAGAGUCAGUUCGUAUGCUGCGGGAAAUGGCUGCUGAGGAGGUAGGCUGAGCGCUUGCGUUUAGCUGUUAUAUCUUGGCGUGCUAGUGGUCGUGGUUGGGACUGAGGUGCCUACAACGUGCUUUAAAGUCUUGUGGGGUCUCAUGUGAUAACGUGCUAGGAUAGCUUGCUAUGUUGGUGUGUUUAUUGUGUGAUUGAUGCUGCUUGUAACUUUUGCCGUUC